Lolium perenne is the source of this 1855-nucleotide non-coding RNA. Lineage: Eukaryota; Viridiplantae; Streptophyta; Magnoliopsida; Poales; Poaceae. The record is from RefSeq and is a predicted model, not a curated record.
UGCUGUACACGCCCACCAGAGAAACCCAUGCGCGACGGUAAACUACACCGCUCGAUCUCCUUCCCCAUCUUCUUCCCUGCUGCCGGCGCCCCGCAGCGUCUCCCGAACUCCUCCCCCGCCUUCUUCCUCGUCGGGCCUCCUCUGCCGCUUCUUCCCCCCACCUACCCCUAGGCCAGCACCUCACCUUCAACUCGAUCCCCAUCACCACCAUUCGCAUCUAACCGUGCUCCACUCGCUCCGACGCCGGCCGAUUUGCCCCUUGGUGGUGGCUGUUGUUGGCAGAAAGCGGUCGCAUGCAACUACUAGGACCUGACCGCAUCCAGCUUUCUUUUGCUAUUUUUCUUUGUUCUCCAUUCGUGACCUUUUCUUCCACAAAACCGGCUCACGUUUCUCUCUCUUGGCUAAGUCAGCCCAUUUCUCUCUCUGUUUGAUAAGUCCUCUCUCUUGUUUUUUUUUUGAUUGUUUUUUUGAUUGUUGUACUAAGAAAAAAACAUUCGAUAUCAAAAACAAAAAAAAAAUUCGUUCCUGGGUGAUUAAUUCAGGCCAGAUCUGGGCAGUAGCGGGCCUGCGGGUGUUGCGCACACGGGAUUCUCCUACUUGAUUUCUGUAGUGAUUUAGAUCUACACUUUCUUUAGUCUGGUUCUUGAUUUCUUGCAUUUCUCUCUCCUGUCCUUGGAUUUUUUAUCUCUUCAUCUCUUGAAUUCCAGUACCAGAGCGCCCAUGCUGGAUGGAUGGAUGAUGUUUUUUUUUUGAACGGCGGCGCGACGGCCACUCCUGUACCCAUUCCUCCCGCAUGGCCCGUUUCAUCCCUGCUCACCCUCGCAUGGUUUUCUUUUGAUCUCAAUUUUCUUCAACACUUUUCUUCGAUCUGGAUAUCAUGUUGUUGCCGAUCAAGAUACCAUGUUGUUUUCUUGUACAUGGUUACCGAUCCAAGAUCCAGAUCCCAUGUUUCUUUAAACGAUUCAGAUCCCAUGUUCACUGAAAGAAGUUUUUACAUGGAUUUGCUUCACCACACGGAGUUGAUUCCUUUGUACAUAGUCUGUACCCGAUCCAGAUCCUGUUAAUUUUUUUGCACAUCACCGAUCGGGCCAGUUCUUUUGCUUCACCUUCAAUUAGGAUCAUGUUGAUUUUUGUUUGCCUCCUCCCCUGCGGCAGACCGUACGGCACCGCGUCCUGCGCAACGCCACGCCGCCGGUCGGGUCGUUCGUGACCCUAAUUCCCCGCCGACGGUUGCGAGCAGAUCCACUAGCCGGAGGUGAAGAAGCCGGUAGAGGUCGGGCCUCGCAUGUCGUUCUUUUUUUGAAUCUAUUUUGUCUUCACUUUUUUUUUGUUUCCGAUCUGAAUAAUUCACGUUUGAGGGAAUCAGGUCCAUGCCGAUUUUUAAUCUGUGGCUAUUGUGGCGCCCCCCGCCAGAUCUGCACGGUGAAGGAUGCCGCUGGAGGGAUCGCGGCAAGGAGAAGGAGGGAGCUCGGCCAGUGUCUCCGGCGAGGUUGUUUUUUUCCUUUGCAAGGACAGCAGAGGGAGCAGUCGUAUGCAGGGAUAAUGUUUGGUCAUCUUGUGAUUAGCGUGAAAGUCUAUGGUGCGGGUCUCAGGCCGGGUCAGAGGCGAGAAGAGGAAGCGCGUCCGUCUUGGGCAUCCAGGGAGAUCCAACAUGCAGCGAAUGAAGAAUAAACCUAGGUGGAGGCAGUCGUGAGGAUGUAAAUGUUUUUUGGUCGAUCUGGAUUUGCAUCACUCUUUUUUGCUGAUCUCGAUUUUUUUGUGUGCCCAAUUCAGAUUCCAUGUCGAUUUUUUUGUUCAUGGUGUUUCCCGGAUCCAGAUCCUAUGGUCAUUGAAAUAAAUGGUAGAAAUUGGUUAA